UUUAUGGAGAGUUUGAUCCUGGCUCAGGAUGAACGCUGGCGGCGUGCCUAAUACAUGCAAGUCGAGCGAACAGAUAAGGAGCUUGCUCCUUUGACGUUAGCGGCGGACGGGUGAGUAACACGUGGGUAACCUACCUAUAAGACUGGAAUAACUCCGGGAAACCGGGGCUAAUGCCGGAUAACAUGUUGAACCGCAUGGUUCUACAGUGAAAGACGGUCUUGCUGUCACUUAUAGAUGGACCCGCGCCGUAUUAGCUAGUUGGUGGGGUAACGGCCUACCAAGGCGACGAUACGUAGCCGACCUGAGAGGGUGAUCGGCCACACUGGAACUGAGACACGGUCCAGACUCCUACGGGAGGCAGCAGUAGGGAAUCUUCCGCAAUGGGCGAAAGCCUGACGGAGCAACGCCGCGUGAGUGAUGAAGGUCUUCGGAUCGUAAAGCUCUGUUGUUAGGGAAGAACAAAUGUGUAAGUAACUGUGCACAUCUUGACGGUACCUAACCAGAAAGCCACGGCUAACUACGUGCCAGCAGCCGCGGUAAUACGUAGGUGGCAAGCGUUAUCCGGAAUUAUUGGGCGUAAAGCGCGCGUAGGCGGUUUUUUAAGUCUGAUGUGAAAGCCCACGGCUCAACCGUGGAGGGUCAUUGGAAACUGGAAAACUUGAGUGCAGAAGAGGAAAGUGGAAUUCCAUGUGUAGCGGUGAAAUGCGCAGAGAUAUGGAGGAACACCAGUGGCGAAGGCGGCUUUCUGGUCUGCAACUGACGCUGAUGUGCGAAAGCGUGGGGAUCAAACAGGAUUAGAUACCCUGGUAGUCCACGCCGUAAACGAUGAGUGCUAAGUGUUAGGGGGUUUCCGCCCCUUAGUGCUGCAGCUAACGCAUUAAGCACUCCGCCUGGGGAGUACGGUCGCAAGACUGAAACUCAAAGGAAUUGACGGGGACCCGCACAAGCGGUGGAGCAUGUGGUUUAAUUCGAAGCAACGCGAAGAACCUUACCAAAUCUUGACAUCCUUUGACCGCUCUAGAGAUAGAGUUUUCCUCUUCGGAGGACAAAGUGACAGGUGGUGCAUGGUUGUCGUCAGCUCGUGUCGUGAGAUGUUGGGUUAAGUCCCGCAACGAGCGCAACCCUUGAACUUAGUUGCCAUCAUUCAGUUGGGCACUCUAAGUUGACUGCCGGUGACAAACCGGAGGAAGGUGGGGAUGACGUCAAAUCAUCAUGCCCCUUAUGAUUUGGGCUACACACGUGCUACAAUGGACAAUACAAAGGGCAGCGAAAC
RNAcentral lists this ribosomal RNA (1273 nucleotides) under Staphylococcus pseudintermedius. RNAcentral describes it as "bacterial SSU rRNA". It matches the Rfam family "Bacterial small subunit ribosomal RNA", at positions 1 to 1255 of the family's 1533-position model. Lineage: Bacteria; Bacillati; Bacillota; Bacilli; Caryophanales; Staphylococcaceae. The record is from RNAcentral.